Molecule: long non-coding RNA, 1361 nt
Organism: Lycium barbarum (goji berry)
Lineage: Eukaryota; Viridiplantae; Streptophyta; Magnoliopsida; Solanales; Solanaceae
Exons: 2
Source: RefSeq, a predicted model, not a curated record
GGUAACUAGCAUAUAACAAAUCUCCAAUAAGCCUCUCAAUCUUGGUGAUGAGCUGACCCGUCAGUCAUGGUGGUAGGUCAUGCACUGCUAGGAUUUAGGGGCCCAUCACGUUCCAUAAUGGACCAUACUAGGCUUAGUUCUAGGAGAAGAUUUGUAAGGGUGUAAAAUUGAUAGUUGAAGGGAAAGAAGCUUACAUAUAGGUGUAGCCAUACUCUCAAUUAGAGUAGGCCUUUGGGAAAAAAAGCCACUGAGCUUGACCCAAAGACGACAGUAUCCUACCAUGUCGAGUGUCUUUGGGCUGGUAGGAGGCCCUAAAACUGGGGUUCACUUCCUAUUACCAAGUGAGUCGUCCAAGGUGAUUAGAGCCAAAACAAAAGGGCAUAAUUUAAGUGCAUUAAGAUUUAGCAGCUAAAAUGUCUUUGAAAUAGAAACAAACAUGAAAAACCUUUUACUUGUCAGAAGAGCUAAUCACAUAUCAACUAACAUCGAGCCAAAAAAUGUCUGCGGUUCUCUUUUUAUAGAAAAAAUAAACUCACUAGGGAGAAUUAUUAUCAACACCAUCUCUAUGGUAGAAAAGUAGAUCCGUGCAGGGCAAUAACAUUUUCAUCAAGAACACACCACAUUGCAUAGAUCAAAACACUAAAUCGAGUGUCCUAUCGAAAUAAUUUCAGCCAACAUAGACAAUGUAAUGUAGCAACUUAUCCAUGCAAGACCCUUUGAAAGGGUACUUCUUGCAUUCUAAAGGAUUUAUUUUUGUUCUGCAGACAAUUAGAGUGCUAAAACUGGCACUAUUACGACCUUGUUUCGGCUUGGAAAGGCACUGCAAUUACUAUAUCUGAUGCUGAGAGAGAACAACCAAGCCAAUCAAGGAGAUUGUUUGUACACAAUGAAAAGGAGACAGCUGACAAUGGGGCAUGGUGCCAGCUUGGGAGGUUGUGAAGUACUCUGAACUCUCUUAAAAGAGACCGUCAAAUAAUGGAGGAAAAGAACACAGAGAAAACACAAGAGUUUUAUUAUUAUUAUUAUUAAUACCAGUAAAGAAUGUACUGCAGUGGAUGAGGCUGCUUCUUUCUUAAUCAGAGGUUUCGGGAUCGAGCACUUUUUUAAAAUAAGCCGAUACGGCGCAAAUCCGGAUAUAAUUGGACUCUAAUGCUGAAAUCGAACACCGGAUGAAAAACCAAAAAAGAAAAACUGUAUUUUUUUUAAGCCUUUGGAGUUGCUCUUUUGGGAGUUCUCAGCAGCUUUACCACUGCUGCUUUUUUGGGGGUUCACUUCCACUUGCAAACUUCUUUUUCAUCCUUUCCAAAUCCACCCUUCACUGUACUUGCGUUCAUAUAAAUACUCUCUCUGUCCCAUAAUAA